GGAGGGAUGGCCGAGCGGCCGAUGGCGACGGUCUUGAAAACCGUUUUCGCGCAAGCGAACGUGGGUUCGAAUCCCACUCCCUCCGCCA
RNAcentral lists this transfer RNA (88 nucleotides) under Dehalococcoidia bacterium. RNAcentral describes it as "tRNA-Ser". It matches the Rfam family "tRNA". Rfam says of the family: Transfer RNA (tRNA) molecules are approximately 80 nucleotides in length. Their secondary structure includes four short double-helical elements and three loops (D, anti-codon, and T loops). Further hydrogen bonds mediate the characteristic L-shaped molecular structure. tRNAs have two regions of fundamental functional importance: the anti-codon, which is responsible for specific mRNA codon recognition, and the 3' end, to which the tRNAs corresponding amino acid is attached (by aminoacyl-tRNA synthetases). tRNAs cope with the degeneracy of the genetic code in two manners: having more than one tRNA (with a specific anti-codon) for a particular amino acid; and 'wobble' base-pairing, i.e. permitting non-standard base-pairing at the 3rd anti-codon position. Lineage: Bacteria; Bacillati; Chloroflexota; Dehalococcoidia. The record is from RNAcentral.